CCCAUGAUAUCGAACAGAUCCUUCCGGAACCACGAGACUCAACCGAAAGAACAAAUGCCUCACGAAUGUUUACAUAUUGACAACAAUUAUUUCCACCCCUUAAACCUCACCAAGGGAACUACUCACACAUAUUGGAAAACGUAAAUGCGAAAUAAAAUGAACACAUGAAUGAAAGGAAAUUUGAAAUACUUGAUAUAAAAAUACCUAAGGCAACAACCUUGGCUUUGUUCGUCACAACGGAAUUGAAAUGCGAAAAGCAACUAAAUUGUUUGGUGCGAAAAAUAUAAAAGAACUAAAAGUAAAUUGUUUUCUUGGUGAACUAACAAAAGUCUAAGCCUAGAAGAAUACUAAAACUACUAUGCAAGUAAUGAAAAACUCGUGGAUCCCUCUCCUCUAAAAA
RNAcentral lists this long non-coding RNA (400 nucleotides) under Salvia miltiorrhiza (redroot sage). RNAcentral's name for it is "long non-coding RNA (SMIL_LNC013349)". Lineage: Eukaryota; Viridiplantae; Streptophyta; Magnoliopsida; Lamiales; Lamiaceae. The record is from RNAcentral.